CCUACGGGAGGCUGCAGUGGGGAAUAUUGGACAAUGGGCGAAAGCCUGAUCCAGCCAUGCCGCGUGUGUGAAGAAGGCCUUCGGGUUGUAAAGCACUUUCAGUGGGGAAGAAAGCCUUGGGGCUAAUACCCUCGAGGAAGGACAUCACCCACAGAAGAAGCACCGGCUAACUCCGUGGCCAGCAGCCGCGGUAAUACGGAGGGUGCGAGCGUUAAUCGGAAUUACUGGGCGUAAAGCGCGCGUAGGCGGUCUGAUAAGCCGGUUGUGAAAGCCCCGGGCUCAACCUGGGAACGGCAUCCGGAACUGUCAGGCUAGAGUGCAGGAGAGGAAGGUAGAAUUCCCGGUGUAGCGGUGAAAUGCGUAGAGAUCGGGAGGAAUACCAGUGGCGAAGGCGGCCUUCUGGACUGACACUGACGCUGAGGUGCGAAAGCGUGGGUAGCAAACAGGAUUAGAUACCCUGGUAGUC
Molecule: ribosomal RNA, 466 nt
Filed under: Vreelandella stevensii
Lineage: Bacteria; Pseudomonadati; Pseudomonadota; Gammaproteobacteria; Oceanospirillales; Halomonadaceae
Description: partial 16S ribosomal RNA
Rfam family: Bacterial small subunit ribosomal RNA
Source: RNAcentral